AUCCCUUUGGCUGCUCUGUAGCUCUCCACACUGCAGGUCUCCGCACAAGCAGGGCUGCCUCCCUCCACUCCUUCCCAAGAGGUGAUUCCAAGUGCAGAAAGCUGUGGAUUCCUCUGAAGAAAUACGUGCUCACAAAAAUAUGGCAAAACACCAGACAGAGACUAAGACGAUGAAAAGUCUGGAGGAAAAGUCUUACAAAGAGC
This is a long non-coding RNA of Cyanistes caeruleus (blue tit), 203 nucleotides long. RefSeq lists it as uncharacterized. NCBI's taxonomy places the organism in Eukaryota, Metazoa, Chordata, Aves, Passeriformes, Paridae. The record is from RefSeq and is a predicted model, not a curated record.